This 301-nucleotide ribosomal RNA is filed under the name uncultured bacterium. Its description in RNAcentral is "partial 16S ribosomal RNA". It matches the Rfam family "Bacterial small subunit ribosomal RNA", at positions 509 to 809 of the family's 1533-position model. The record is from RNAcentral.
CAGCCGCCGCGGGAAUACGAAGGGUGCAAGCGUUAAUCGGAAUUACUGGGCGUAAAGCGUGCGUAGGUGGUGAGUUAAGUCUGCUGUGAAAUCCCCGGGCUCAACCUGGGAAUGGCAGUGGAUACUGGCUCGCUAGAGUGUGUCAGAGGAUGGUGGAAUUCCCGGUGUAGCGGUGAAAUGCGUAGAGAUCGGGAGGAACAUCAGUGGCGAAGGCGGCCAUCUGGGACAACACUGACGCUGAGGCACGAAAGCGUGGGGAGCAAACAGGAUUAGAUACCCCUGUAGUCCCUGUCUCUUAUAU